UACGUGAAACCGUUCAGGGGUAAAACCUGAAAACCCGAAAGGUCGAACAGGGAGAUUCAUCGCGUCUCUGUGCCGGCGAUGUGAUUGUUGUGCGACGAAUGUGCGCGUGUGUGUAUGCAUCUUGUGUGUGUGCGCGUACGUGUCGUGUUUGCGCCUUCAAUUCUUAUGAACUGGUAUGGAACGUGUGCACUUCUCCCUUAGUAGGACGUCGCGAUCCGUUGGGUGUCGGCUUAAGGUCCGCAAUGGAGCCCGUUCGUGUGGUGUGCACCUGCACAUUGCACGUUCGGACCUGCGGUUGCCCGGCCGACUUGCCCGACGGUGUACAGAUGGCGGAGGGCCGUGACACAACUAGUUCACGUUCGACCUAUGGCAAGCGCGCUGUGUCUCGUUCAGCGAUCGGACCUGGUCCGGUCCUGAUCCUCAGUGGCUGUUCGCCAUAGUGUUCUCGGACUGGCCUUUGUGACGCCUAUCUGCGACGCUAUUGCUUUGGGUACUUUCAGGACCCGUCUUGAAACACGGACCAAGGAGUCUAGCAUGUGCGCAAGUCAUUGGGAUACACUAAACCUACAGGCGUAAUGAAAGUAAAGGUCCACUCUAUGUGGACCUAGGGAAGAUGGGCGGUCAUCAGCGACGAUGCCGCCCCGCACUCCCGGGGCGUCUCAUUCUCAUUGCGAGAGGAGGCGCACCAAGAGCGUACAUGCUGGGACCCGAAAGAUGGUGAACUAUGCCUGGUCAGGACGAAGUCAGGGGAAACCCUGAUGGAGGUCCGUAGCGAUUCUGACGUGCAAAUCGAUCGUCGGAACUAGGGUAUAGGGGCGAAAGACCAAUCGAACCUC
This 836-nucleotide ribosomal RNA is filed under the name Coleoptera sp. NZAC 03011890. Its description in RNAcentral is "eukaryotic LSU rRNA". It matches the Rfam family "Eukaryotic large subunit ribosomal RNA", at positions 396 to 944 of the family's 3401-position model. The record is from RNAcentral. Lineage: Eukaryota; Metazoa; Arthropoda; Insecta; Coleoptera.